UCCUAGUAUAAUGGGCAAACAGAGAUGGG
Molecule: non-coding RNA, 29 nt
Filed under: Mus musculus (house mouse)
Lineage: Eukaryota; Metazoa; Chordata; Mammalia; Rodentia; Muridae
Source: RNAcentral